UAGGACCGUGCCUGAAUCGCAAUAGGGCUCUUUGAUAGAGUAGACAACAGGGGUUAGAACCCCCUCGCAU
Molecule: non-coding RNA, 70 nt
Organism: Alligator sinensis (Chinese alligator)
Lineage: Eukaryota; Metazoa; Chordata; Crocodylia; Alligatoridae
Source: the annotation of a RefSeq genome assembly